CCCAGAUUGAUUCAAUUUGUGAAGAAUGUUUUAUUCUUAAUCAGAUUUCGUUUGUUGCCACUCGAAAUGCUCACGCAAUUCACUACAUCAUACUUUAAAAAUCGUUAAAUUUACCGGCAAAUUCGGCAGCCUACUAUAGCAGACGAACCAAUAGCACGCUUGCAUACUGAUGAAGCGAUGUCAUGUCAUCAACCAAUCCGAUUUAGCUGCAUUGAGCACCGCUGUUGACACAACGAAGAAUGGCAUGGAAGCAGCGACGCUCGGCCGUAGACAGUAUGCAGUGAAAGCUGCGAGGCACUAAAUAACAAGCAGAAGACAGAUUCCACUCCACAGAUUUAGGCUUCAGCUUGUUUUGAGGCUGUGCAUCCUCACGAUCCCCGGCCCACAUCAUCAACAAGUGAUCAGUGUCCACUGCAGCAAGGUGUGCACAACCUCACUCCUGUUACAGGAACAGAUUCAAAGUUCAAGAUCCACCUUCACACUCAUGCAUUGCAUGUUUGACACCAAACUUCUUUUACAUCUCUUUUUGAAUUAAACUGCCUUCUCUCUUCGUU
Micropterus dolomieu (smallmouth bass) is the source of this 554-nucleotide long non-coding RNA. RefSeq lists it as uncharacterized. The transcript is spliced from 4 exons. Lineage: Eukaryota; Metazoa; Chordata; Actinopteri; Centrarchiformes; Centrarchidae. The record is from RefSeq and is a predicted model, not a curated record.